AUGAACGCAGCGACAGGCCAACACAUGCAAGUCAGGGGCAGCACAAGGAGCAAUCUGAGGUGGCGACCGGCGCACGGGUGAGUAACACGUAUGCAACCUGCCUGUAAGCGGGGAAUAACCCGUUGAAAGACGGACUAAUACCGCAUAAUACUAAAUUACUGCAUGGUAAUUUAUUUAAACAUUUAUGGCUUACAGAUGGGCAUGCGCAUGAUUAGCUAGUUGGAGAGGUAACGGCUCCCCAAGGCAACGAUCAUUAGGGGUUCUGAGAGGAAGGUCCCCCACACUGGUACUGAGACACGGACCAGACUCCUACGGGAGGCAGCAGUGAGGAAUAUUGGUCAAUGGACGAGAGUCUGAACCAGCCAAGUCGCGUGCAGGAAGAAUGUCCCUAUGGAUUGUAAACUGCUUUUGCAGGGGAAUAAAGUGCAUCACGUGUGAUGUUUUGUAUGUACUCUGCGAAUAAGGAUCGGCUAACUCCGUGCCAGCCGCAGC
Molecule: ribosomal RNA, 492 nt
Filed under: uncultured bacterium
Lineage: Bacteria
Description: bacterial SSU rRNA
Rfam family: Bacterial small subunit ribosomal RNA
Source: RNAcentral